Long non-coding RNA from Scylla paramamosain (green mud crab), 1786 nucleotides. RefSeq lists it as uncharacterized. The record is from RefSeq and is a predicted model, not a curated record. The transcript has 11 exons. Lineage: Eukaryota; Metazoa; Arthropoda; Malacostraca; Decapoda; Portunidae.
GAGUCCAGACCGAGACCCAGAGAAAUGUAAACAAACGCACCAGUCAGACUUGAUAUAGGAGUGAAUUUGUUGCUUUUUAAAGCGGCAGUCGGUCUGUACAUGUGUGAGGUGGCGAGGGGUGUCGCCAGGGGGCGGCUAGUAGCGUCUGCCACCAGGGAAAUAUGUAAAAACAUAAAAAAGACGCUUCUCAAGAAAGAGAGGGGCAGUCGGUCUGUACAUGCGUGAGGUGGCGAGAGGCGUGUCCAGGGGGCGGCUAGUAGCGUGUGCCACCGUGGAAAUAUGUACAGACAUAAAGAAGACGCCCUCAAGAAAGGCCUGAGUCCAGACCGAGACCCAGAGAAAUGUAAACAAACGCACCAGUCAGACUUGAUAUAGGAGUGAAUUUGUUGCUUUUUAAAGCGGCAGUCGGUCUGUACAUGUGUGAGGUGGCGAGGGGUGUCGCCAGGGGGCGGCUAGUAGCGUCUGCCACCAGGGAAAUAUGUAAAAACAUAAAAAAGACGCUUCUCAAGAAAGAGAGGGGCAGUCGGUCUGUACAUGCGUGAGGUGGCGAGAGGCGUGUCCAGGGGGCGGCUAGUAGCGUGUGCCACCGUGGAAAUAUGUACAGACAUAAAGAAGACGCCCUCAAGAAAGGCCUGAGUCCAGACCGAGACCCAGAGAAAUGUAAACAAACGCACCAGUCAGACUUGAUAUAGGAGUGAAUUUGUUGCUUUUUAAAGCGGCAGUCGGUCUGUACAUGUGUGAGGUGGCGAGGGGUGUCGCCAGGGGGCGGCUAGUAGCGUCUGCCACCAGGGAAAUAUGUAAAAACAUAAAAAAGACGCUUCUCAAGAAAGAGAGGGGCAGUCGGUCUGUACAUGCGUGAGGUGGCGAGAGGCGUGUCCAGGGGGCGGCUAGUAGCGUGUGCCACCGUGGAAAUAUGUACAGACAUAAAGAAGACGCCCUCAAGAAAGGCCUGAGUCCAGACCGAGACCCAGAGAAAUGUAAACAAACGCACCAGUCAGACUUGAUAUAGGAGUGAAUUUGUUGCUUUUUAAAGCGGCAGUCGGUCUGUACAUGUGUGAGGUGGCGAGGGGUGUCGCCAGGGGGCGGCUAGUAGCGUCUGCCACCAGGGAAAUAUGUAAAAACAUAAAAAAGACGCUUCUCAAGAAAGAGAGGGGCAGUCGGUCUGUACAUGCGUGAGGUGGCGAGAGGCGUGUCCAGGGGGCGGCUAGUAGCGUGUGCCACCGUGGAAAUAUGUACAGACAUAAAGAAGACGCCCUCAAGAAAGGCCUGAGUCCAGACCGAGACCCAGAGAAAUGUAAACAAACGCACCAGUCAGACUUGAUAUAGGAGUGAAUUUGUUGCUUUUUAAAGCGGCAGUCGGUCUGUACAUGUGUGAGGUGGCGAGGGGUGUCGCCAGGGGGCGGCUAGUAGCGUCUGCCACCAGGGAAAUAUGUAAAAACAUAAAAAAGACGCUUCUCAAGAAAGAGAGGGGCAGUCGGUCUGUACAUGCGUGAGGUGGCGAGAGGCGUGUCCAGGGGGCGGCUAGUAGCGUGUGCCACCGUGGAAAUAUGUACAGACAUAAAGAAGACGCCCUCAAGAAAGGCCUGAGUCCAGACCGAGACCCAGAGAAAUGUAAACAAACGCACCAGUCAGACUUGAUAUAGGAGUGAAUUUGUUGCUUUUUAAAGCGGCAGUCGGUCUGUACAUGUGUGAGGUGGCGAGGGGUGUCGCCAGGGGGCGGCUAGUAGCGUCUGCCACCAGGGAAAUAUGUAAAAACAUAAAAAAGACGCUUCUCAAGAAAGGUAAG